RNAcentral lists this ribosomal RNA (372 nucleotides) under uncultured bacterium. Its description in RNAcentral is "bacterial SSU rRNA". It matches the Rfam family "Bacterial small subunit ribosomal RNA", at positions 524 to 898 of the family's 1533-position model. The record is from RNAcentral.
UACGGAGGAUCCGAGCGUUAUCCGGAAUCAUUGGGUUUAAAGGGUCCGUAGGCGGUUUUGUAAGUCAGUGGUGAAAUCCGGCAGCUCAACUGUCGAACUGCCAUUGAUACUGCAGGACUUGAAUUAUUGUGAAGUAACUAGAAUAUGUAGUGUAGCGGUGAAAUGCUUAGAUAUUACAUGGAAUACCAAUUGCGAAGGCAGGUUACUAACAGUUGAUUGACGCUGAUGGACGAAAGCGUGGGGAGCGAACAGGAUUAGAUACCCUGGUAGUCCACGCCGUAAACGAUGGAUACUAGCUGUUUGGUAGGAAUACUGAGUGGCUAAGCGAAAGUGAUAAGUAUCCCACCUGGGGAGUACGGGCGCAAGCCUGAA